This 253-nucleotide ribosomal RNA is filed under the name uncultured bacterium. Its description in RNAcentral is "partial 16S ribosomal RNA". It matches the Rfam family "Bacterial small subunit ribosomal RNA", at positions 524 to 776 of the family's 1533-position model. The record is from RNAcentral.
UACGAAGGGGGCUAGCGUUGCUCGGAAUCACUGGGCGUAAAGCGCACGUAGGCGGAUUGUUAAGUCAGGGGUGAAAUCCUGGAGCUCAACUCCAGAACUGCCUUUGAUACUGAGGAUCUUGAGUACGGGAGAGGUGAGUGGAACUGCGAGUGUAGAGGUGAAAUUCGUAGAUAUUCGCAAGGACACCAGUGGCGAAGGCGGCUCACUGGCCCGUAACUGACGCUGAGGCACGAAAGCGUGGGGAGCAAACAGG